Molecule: non-coding RNA, 21 nt
Filed under: Arabidopsis thaliana (thale cress)
Lineage: Eukaryota; Viridiplantae; Streptophyta; Magnoliopsida; Brassicales; Brassicaceae
Source: RNAcentral
UGAGGAUGAGUGGGAAAUUUU